Molecule: ribosomal RNA, 253 nt
Filed under: uncultured bacterium
Lineage: Bacteria
Description: partial 16S ribosomal RNA
Rfam family: Bacterial small subunit ribosomal RNA
Source: RNAcentral
UACGAAGGGGGCUAGCGUUGCUCGGAAUUACUGGGCGUAAAGGGCGCGUAGGCGGGCAGUUUAGUCAGAAGUUAAAGCCCAGGGCUCAACCUUGGAAUCGCUUUUGAUACUGAUUGUCUUGAGUACGGGAGAGGUGUGUGGAACUCCGAGUGUAGAGGUGAAAUGCGUAGAUAUGCGGAAGAACACCAGUGGCGAAGGCGACACACUGGCCCGUUACUGACGCUGAGGCGCGAAAGCGUGGGGAGCAAACAGG